CGCCCUGGUCUUCAUUGCCGACGGGUGCCUGCGCGUGGGGACGUACCUUUUGGUUCCUGCCUCUGACGGGGGUUCACCCGAUACCGGAUAAACCCUUACGGGGAACGAUUUAUCGCCAAUGAUAUAUAUUUGUCUGAAUUGCUCGUUGGUGGAUUGAUGUGCCUUCCAUUAGAUUGUUGGUGAUGGUCUGAGAGGAUGAUCAGCCAUGGAUAGGGGAACUGAGGCCCAGACCCCCCCCGGAGGCACUGAUGGGGAAUAUUGACUCCUGGGGGAGGGCCUGAUCCGGACAUGUGGCCAAUGGGAUAAAGGCCCAACGGUUGUAAAGCUCUUUUGGACGAGAAGAUUAUGGCUUGUCCACUUCUUUUGUCCCGGAAUAACUUCUCGCCAGCACCCGCGGUAAUACGAAGGGGGCUAGCGUUGCUCGGAAUCACUGGGCGCCAAGGGUGCGUAUAAUACGUUUCUAACCCAGAGUUGAAAGGAUGGUUGGGUCUCCAGAACUGCCUUUGAUACUGGAAAUUUUGAGGUCAAAAGAGGUGAGUG
RNAcentral lists this ribosomal RNA (540 nucleotides) under Rhodopseudomonas faecalis. RNAcentral's name for it is "bacterial SSU rRNA". It matches the Rfam family "Bacterial small subunit ribosomal RNA", at positions 82 to 663 of the family's 1533-position model. Lineage: Bacteria; Pseudomonadati; Pseudomonadota; Alphaproteobacteria; Hyphomicrobiales; Nitrobacteraceae. The record is from RNAcentral.